RNAcentral lists this long non-coding RNA (477 nucleotides) under Equus caballus (horse). RNAcentral describes it as "lncRNA (ENSECAG00000045672.1)". The record is from RNAcentral. Lineage: Eukaryota; Metazoa; Chordata; Mammalia; Perissodactyla; Equidae.
AAUCCACCACAUCCUUUCAUUUCCUGAAACAUACCACGCACUUUCUCAUCUGGGGCCUUCAUUCAUUGCUGCAUUUGGGCUGCUGGAAAGUCUCGUCUCAUUUUCAGAUUACCAUUCAAAGGCGGUGCAAGUCUAUCAAUGGAGAAUCCCUCUGGGACAGUGAUGAGGAACUAGGUGCAAAGCAGCAUGGGAAGACCUGGGGUAGGCGCGGAUUCCUGGCUUCUACUGAAAGAAGAAAAGGCACUGUUCAUUUCAAAGAAUAAUCCUGGUCGGAGGAUGGAGUCAAAUUGAUGGUGGGCUUGCGUUAGGACCGAAUACCGAAUAACUAGAGCUCAAGCAGAAGCAUCCUACUUCCAGUCAGUUCAGAAUCCCAAACAAAUUAAAGUGGGAAGAAAAGCAUCAUGAAGCAGAAAGUUCUCCCCAUUCUUGCCAGCAGAGCAGGAGCUACCUUGCAGGAGACAAAGAAGGGCCUGAACU